This 434-nucleotide ribosomal RNA is filed under the name uncultured bacterium. RNAcentral describes it as "partial 16S ribosomal RNA". It matches the Rfam family "Bacterial small subunit ribosomal RNA", at positions 29 to 507 of the family's 1533-position model. The record is from RNAcentral.
AGCGAACGCUGGCGGCAGGCCUAACACAUGCAAGUCGAACGAACCUUUCGGGGUUAGUGGCGGACGGGUGAGUAACACGUGGGAACGUGCCUUUAGGUUCGGAAUAACUCAGGGAAACUUGUGCUAAUACCGAAUGUGCCCUUCGGGGGAAAGAUUUAUCGCCUUUAGAGCGGCCCGCGUCUGAUUAGCUAGUUGGUUGAGGUAAUGGCUCACCAAGGCGACGAUCAGUAGCUGGUCUGAGAGGAUGAUCAGCCACAUUGGAGCUGAGACACGGCCCAAACUCCUACGGGAGGCAGCAGUGGGGAAUCUUGCGCAAUGGGCGAAAGCCUGACGCAGCCAUGCCGCGUGAAUGAUGAAGGUCUUAGGAUUGUAAAAUUCUUUCAACGGGGACGAUAAUGACGGUACCCGGAGAAGAAGCCCCGGCUAACUUCGUG